CCUACGGGAGGCUGCAGUGGGGAAUAUUGCGCAAUGGGCGAAAGCCUGACGCAGCGACGCCGCGUGAGGGAUGAAGGUCUUCGGAUCGUAAACCUCUGUCAGCAGGGAAGAACGGUCACUGUGCUAAUCAGCAGUGAAUUGACGGUACCUGCAAAGGAAGCACCGGCUAACUCCGUGCCAGCCGCCGCGGUAAUACGGAGGGUGCGAGCGUUAAUCGGAAUUACUGGGCGUAAAGCGCUCGUAGGCGGUAUGUCAAGUCAAGGGUGAAAUCACCGCGCUCAACGUGGGAACUGCCUUUGAAACUGGCAAACUGGAGUGUGGGAGAGGAUAGUGGAAUUCCAGGUGUAGGAGUGAAAUCCGUAGAUAUCUGGAGGAACAUCAGUGGCGAAGGCGACUAUCUGGCACAUAACUGACGCUGAGGAGCGAAAGCGUGGGUAGCAAACAGGAUUAGAUACCCUUGUAGUC
This 465-nucleotide ribosomal RNA is filed under the name uncultured bacterium. RNAcentral's name for it is "partial 16S ribosomal RNA". It matches the Rfam family "Bacterial small subunit ribosomal RNA", at positions 338 to 795 of the family's 1533-position model. The record is from RNAcentral.